RNAcentral lists this ribosomal RNA (254 nucleotides) under uncultured bacterium. RNAcentral describes it as "partial 16S ribosomal RNA". It matches the Rfam family "Bacterial small subunit ribosomal RNA", at positions 524 to 776 of the family's 1533-position model. The record is from RNAcentral.
UACAGAGACUGCAAGCGUUAUUCGGAUUCACUGGGCGUAAAGGGUGCGCAGGCGGCCGAGUGUGUUAGAUGUGAAAUCCCGGGGCUCAACCCCGGAACUGCGUCUAAAACUACUUGGCUAGAGUAUUGGAGAGGGUAUCGGAAUUCACGGGUGUAGCAGUGAAAUGCGUAGAUAUCGUGAGGAACACCAGAGGCGAAGGCGGAUACCUGGACAAUUACUGACGCUCAGGCACGAAAGCGUGGGGAGCAAAAGGG